UACGUAGGGUGCGAGCGUUGUCCGGAAUUACUGGGCGUAAAGGGCUCGUAGGUGGUUUGUCGCGUCGUCUGUGAAAUUCCGGGGCUUAACUCCGGGCGUGCAGGCGAUACGGGCAUAACUUGAGUACUGUAGGGGUAACUGGAAUUCCUGGUGUAGCGGUGAAAUGCGCAGAUAUCAGGAGGAACACCGAUGGCGAAGGCAGGUUACUGGGCAGUUACUGACGCUGAGGAGCGAAAGCAUGGGUAGCGAACAGGAUUAGAUACCCGGGUAGUCC
This 274-nucleotide ribosomal RNA is filed under the name uncultured bacterium. RNAcentral's name for it is "partial 16S ribosomal RNA". It matches the Rfam family "Bacterial small subunit ribosomal RNA", at positions 524 to 796 of the family's 1533-position model. The record is from RNAcentral.